CUCGUAGGUGGUUUGUCGCGUUGUUCGUGAAAACUCACAGCUUAACUGUGGGCGUGCGGGCGAUACGGGCAGACUAGAGUACUGCAGGGGAGACUGGAACUCCUGGUGUAGCGGUGGAAUGCGCAGAUAUCAGGAGGAACACCGGUGGCGAAGGCGGGUCUCUGGGCAGUAACUGACGCUGAGGAGCGAAAGCGUGGGUAGCGAACA
This 207-nucleotide ribosomal RNA is filed under the name uncultured bacterium. RNAcentral describes it as "partial 16S ribosomal RNA". It matches the Rfam family "Bacterial small subunit ribosomal RNA", at positions 568 to 774 of the family's 1533-position model. The record is from RNAcentral.